This 155-nucleotide ribosomal RNA is filed under the name uncultured bacterium. RNAcentral's name for it is "partial 16S ribosomal RNA". It matches the Rfam family "Bacterial small subunit ribosomal RNA", at positions 355 to 504 of the family's 1533-position model. The record is from RNAcentral.
UGGGGAAUAUUGGACAAUGGGCGAAAGCCUGAUCCAGCAAUGCCGCGUGAGUGAUGAAGGCCUUAGGGUUGUAAAGCUCUUUUACCCGGGAUGAAGUUCAGGGCUAAUACCCCUGGAUCUUGACCUAACCCACAGAAAAAGCACCGGCUAACUCU